AGAUUCCUACGGGAGGCAGCAGUGGGGAAUAUUGCACAAUGGGCGCAAGCCUGAUGCAGCGACGCCGCGUGAGGGAUGACGGCCUUCGGGUUGUAAACCUCUUUCAGUAGGGAAGAAGCGAAAGUGACGGUACCUGCAGAAGAAGCACCGGCUAACUACGUGCCAGCAGCCGCGGUAAUACGUAGAGUGCGAGCGUUAUCCGGAAUUAUUGGGCGUAAAGAGCUCGUAGGCGGUUUGUCGCGUCUGUCGUGAAAGUCCGGGGCUUAACCCCGGAUCUGCGGUGGGUACGGGCAGACUAGAGUGCAGUAGGGGAGACUGGAAUUCCUGGUGUAGCGGUGGAAUGCGCAGAUAUCAGGAGGAACACCGAUGGCGAAGGCAGGUCUCUGGGCUGUAACUGACGCUGAGGAGCGAAAGCAUGGGGAGCGAACAGGAUUAGAUACCCUGGUAGUCCAUGCCGUAAACGUUGGGCACUAGGUGUGGGGACCAUUCCACGGUUUCCGCGCCGCAGCUAACGCAUUAAGUGCCCCGCCUGGGGAGUACGGCCGCAAGGCUAAAACUCAAAGGAAUUGACGGGGGCCCGCACAAGCGGCGGAGCAUGCGGAUUAAUUCGAUGCAACGCGAAGAACCUUACCAAGGCUUGACAUGUUCUCGAUCGCCGUAGAGAUACGGUUUCCCCUUUGGGGCGGGUUCACAGGUGGUGCAUGGUUGUCGUCAGCUCGUGUCGUGAGAUGUUGGGUUAAGUCCCGCAACGAGCGCAACCCUCGUUCCAUGUUGCCAGCACGUCGUGGUGGGGACUCAUGGGAGACUGCCGGGGUCAACUCGGAGGAAGGUGAGGACGACGUCAAAUCAUCAUGCCCCUUAUGUCUUGGGCUUCACGCAUGCUACAAUGGCCGGUACAAUGGGUUGCGAUACUGUGAGGUGGAGCUAAUCCCAAAAAGCCGGUCUCAGUUCGGAUUGGGGUCUGCAACUCGACCCCAUGAAGUCGGAGUCGCUAGUAAUCGCAGAUCAGCAACGCUGCGGUGAAUACGUUCCCGGGCCUUGUACACACCGCC
RNAcentral lists this ribosomal RNA (1052 nucleotides) under uncultured Micrococcus sp. Its description in RNAcentral is "bacterial SSU rRNA". It matches the Rfam family "Bacterial small subunit ribosomal RNA", at positions 333 to 1394 of the family's 1533-position model. Lineage: Bacteria; Bacillati; Actinomycetota; Actinomycetes; Micrococcales; Micrococcaceae. The record is from RNAcentral.